GGAAACCCAUUCUGAAAAGAUUAAGUCAAAUCAUUCGGUAGCGAGUUAUGGAGAUAAAUAGGUAACUAUCUAUUUUAAGCGUUGACAGUUAGUUAGUAGGUUGAAUA
Molecule: non-coding RNA, 107 nt
Organism: Clostridium saccharoperbutylacetonicum N1-4(HMT)
Lineage: Bacteria; Bacillati; Bacillota; Clostridia; Eubacteriales; Clostridiaceae
Source: Rfam